Non-coding RNA from Paramuricea clavata, 794 nucleotides. NCBI's taxonomy places the organism in Eukaryota, Metazoa, Cnidaria, Anthozoa, Malacalcyonacea, Plexauridae. The record is from the annotation of a GenBank genome assembly.
UAGACACACCAGUUAAUCAUGUUACUGCAUCUAACCUGUGAUCUAACUGUUGUACACUACGGGUGAAAAGGCAACGUGUAAAAAUGCAAAGCUUGCAAUAUCCUACGGUACCCAUACUUUUGAUCAAGGUCAUUUGACGUCAGUGGAGAUCAAUGUGGCAAAGAUCUAUUGUCACCUUUCUAUUUCAAGUUUUUCCAAAUCUCAGAUACUACUCGCGGAGUAUCCUCAACGUUCGUGGUGUCCCUGGUGACUGUUAGAAAAACAUUUCCACCCCAGUCAUAUUACUGUUAAAAAUCUAUUCUAACGACGGGUAUUUUAAAUCAAAGGCGCUGCCUGCAUGCAUGCAUGCAUGCAUGCAUGCAUGGAGGGGUAGUUAGCGGUAAUUUCUUCGUACUUUACCCCAGGAACCUAUUACCCUCUCGGUGCAUGCUUAUUAUUGGACACUAUUUGUAGUUUAUCUGCAGCUCAAAGAGUAGUAGCAUUAUAAAAACCUCACGCCUACUUGAUUUUUAUCUUAUAGAAUAACGUAAAUCUUAAAUUGGGAAUCGCGCCUGUGAUUAUGCCAAUGUUGACAGACAAAUCAAAACCGGCGACUAUUGAAGAUUCGACCCCUGUAAAUAGUCGACUCCUGAAGAAAGCUUUGAGUCCACCAAUAACAAUUAAAAAUUUUUUUAAGCCUUCGUCCAAGACAAGUGAUCCUGACAUUUUCACAGCGAAAGCUGAAUGUUCAAGUGACAAUACCAGCCUUAGCUCCAAUGAUAAAUCAGUACUUGACGAAGAAGACACUCGAACUU